UUAGUUUCGUUGGUGCCUUUGUUAGUUGAAAAAGCUUAAGUUUUAGUGACUGUAAUAGUGAACUAGUGUUUACGAAGUGAUGUUGUUGGUGACUUUAUUUGUUGAAAAUGCUUAAGUGCCGGUGACUUUACAAAUGAACUUUGUUUAGAAGGUGAUGUGGUUGGUUACUUUAUUUGUUGAAAAUGCUUAAGUGUCGAUGAUUUUAAAAGUGAACUUUUGUUUAGAAGGUGAUGCUGUUGGUUACUUUAUUUGUUGAAAAUGCUUAAGUGUCGGUGACUUUAAUAGUGAAUUAGUGUUUAGAAGGUGAUGUUGUUGGUGUCUUUAUUUGUUGAAAAUGCUUAAGUGCCGGUGACUUUAAUAGUGAAUUAGUUUCUUUGGUGCCUUUGUUAGUUGAAAAAGCUCAAGUAUUGGUGACUUUAAAAGUGAAUUUUUGUUUAGAAGGUGAAUUGUUGAAACUAUUAUUGUAGUAUUUUCGUACUCACUUUUGUUGGAUAUUUUGUAUGUGUUGUACACUUUUGAAAAUUUCCAUUUGUUUUUUUUUGUGUUGUUGUAUUUUCAUUUUGGUUACUGCUGUAUAUUAUUGUUGUGGUUGCAUGCAAAAUUUGGGUUUUUAAUUUUUUUUUUUAAAUUCCCAGAAAAACCGACCACAAGUGGUCGGUUUUCUAUAAUUUUUUUUCUUUUUUUGCAAAAACCGACCACAACUGGUCGGUUUUUCUAUAUUAUUAUUAUUAUAUUUUUGUAUAAAACCGACCACAAGUGGUCAGUUUUUCUAAUUAUUUUUUUUUUGUAAAAAAACCGACCACAAAUGGUCGGUUUUUUGUAAAAAUAAUUUUAUUAAUUUAACUAAAAAUUGACCACGUGUGGUCGUUUUUUAUUAAAUUAAUUUAUUAAUUUAUUAAUUUUAUAAAAAACCGACCACUUGUGGUCGGUUUAUUUUUCCCUAAAAUUAUAUUUUUCAUUUAAAUAAAAUAAUAACAAAUUUUAAAAAGGAAUAUAUAUAUUUUUUAAAAAACCGACCACUCGUGGUCGGUUUUUAAAAAGCUACUGCUACUUUUCCGACCAAAAAUUUUAGUUGGUUUUGUGGUCAAAAAAUGGGAAAAACUGACCACUUGUGGUCGAUUUUUGUGGUCGGUUUUUCGCUUUUUUUAGUAGUGAUAAGUAGUAUUCUGAAAAUACUAAAUUUUAUUGUCUUGUGGUGAUAGAAAAAAUGACUAACAAAAGCCAAAUGCAAGAUGCGGCUACGACUGUGGGGGCAACUAGUAUUGCCUCAACAAGUCGAGCAAAUGCUCCGCAAUCAAUGGCACUUGCGGAGAAACCUGAAAUAUUUGUGGGCAUUGACUUUAAGCGAUAGCAGCAGAAGAUGUUCUUCUGCCUCACUACACUAUGUCUUCAAAGGUUCACUAGUGAGCAUUCUCCUGAGGUUCCCGAGGGAACCUCGAACAAAGAGCAUUUCAUAAUUGUAGAGGCUUGGAAACACUCAGACUUCCUUUGCAAGAAUUAUAUCUUGAGUGGUCUCCAAGACGACCUCUAUAAUAUCUACAGUGGAACUAAGACAUCAAAGGAAUUGUGGGGGGGCACUAGAACGAAAAUACAAGACAAAGGAUGUGGGAAUUAAGAAAUUCUUUGUUGUAAAGUUCCUGGACUUUAAAAUGAUAGAUAGCAAAUCGGUUGUCUCUCGAGUGCAGGAAUUGCAAGUAAUCAUCCACGAUCUCUUAGCAGAAGGUAUAUCUUUGAAAAAUACCUUAGUUGAACAAAUUGAAAAUGUUCUUAGUACUCACAUAAACUAUUUUGUAGGUUUAAUUGUGAAUGGUGCAUUUAAAGUAGCAGCGAUCAUUGAGAAGCUACCACCUAUGUGGAAAGACUUCAAAAACUACUUGAAGCACAAACGCAAGGAGAUGACUAUCGAAGAUCUUAUUGUCCAAUUGCGUAUUGAAGAUGAUAAUAAGGCUGCCGAGAGAAGGUCAAAAGGGAAUUCUUCAAUUAAUGAAACACAUAUUGUAGAAGAUGACCAAAACAAUUCUAAGAAAAGGAAGAAAGUUGAACAAAGAGGCAAUCAACCCAAGAAGAAAUUCAAGGAAAAGUGCUUCAAAUGUGGCAAGAUUGGCCAAAAGUCCAUGGAUUGUCGUGCCCCUAAGAAAGGCAAGAAAAAGGACUAAGCAAAUAUGAUCGAGUCCAACAAAGAAUGUGAUGAUCUGUUUUCUAUAAUUUCAGAAUGCAACUUGGUGGGGAAUCCUCGUGAGUGGUGGAUGAAUUCUGGUGCCACCCACCAUAUUUGUGUCAACAAAGAGUUGUUUUCGUUAUUCGCUCCGGCUCAAGUAGAAGAAAUGAUCUACAUGGCUAACUCCGCUACAGCUAAGGUAGAAGGAACAGGAAAAGUGGGCUUGAAAAUGACUUCAGAAAAUGUCUUGACGCUUUACAAUGUCUUGUACAUUCUAGAAUUACUUAGGAACUUGAUUCUAUUUCACUUCUAGACAAGAACGGAUUCAAUGUAACCAUUUCUGGAAAAAUUAUAAUUAGCAAAGGAGAAGUGUAUGUAAGAAAAGGCUAUCUCACCGAGGGCCUUUAUAAGAUAAAUGUAAUGAAUGUUGAAAUCAAUAAAAGUUCAAAUUCUUAUUACUUGCUUGAGUCUUAUAAUUUGUGGCAUGAACAUUUAGGCCAUGUUAAAAUGUUAUGAAAACUGAUUGACUUAGAGGUUUUGCCAAACUUUGAGUUCAAUAAAUCAAAGUGUCAAAUAUGUGUGGAAUCAAAUUAUGCAAAGCAUCCUUAUAAGUCUGUUGAAAGGAAUUCCAAUCCCUUAGACUUGAUACAUACUGACAUUUGUGAUAUGAAGUCAAUACUAUCACGUGGUGGGAAAAAGUAAUUUAUAACUUUUAUUGACGAUUGCACUAGAUAUUGUUAUUUCUAUUUGCUAAACAGUAAGGAUGAAACAAUAGAUGCAUUUAGGCAAUACAAAACUAAAGUAGAAAAUUAGUUAGAGAAAAAGAUAAAAAUGAUAAGAAGUGAUAGGGGCAGAGAAUAUGAAUCUCCCUUCGCUGAAAUAUGUGUAGAGAAUGAAAUUGUCCAUCAAACUACAGCCCCAUAUUCACCUCAAUCCAACGGAAUUGUGGAAAGGAAAAAUCAAGCGUUGAAGGGAAUGAUGAAUAUCUUACUUAUAAGUUUGGUUUACUGCAAAACUUAUGGGGGGAGGCUAUCCUUACAGCCAACCGUAUACUCAAUAGAGUUCCCCAUAGUAAGACACAAUCAAUUCCUUAUGAAAAUAGAAAGGAAGGAAACCCAACUUGAAAUAUUUCAAAGUGUGGGGGUGUCUAGCAAAGGUCCAAGUUCCUAUGUCUAAAAGGGUUAAGAUAGGACCUAAGACUGUGGACUGCCUGUUCAUAGCAUAUGCUAAAAGCAGUAAAGCAUGUCAGUUUUUGGUUCAUAAAUUUGAACAUCCGGAUAUAAAUGAAAAUACGAUAAUUGAAUCAGAUAAUGAUGAAUUCUUUGAAAAUAUUUACUCGUAUAAAAUUAGACAUGAACAGUCUAGUCGAGGAUCUAAAUGAACUCGAGAUGAACCAAAUGAUAAUGUACAUAAUGAAGAGAAUCCAAGACAUAGUACACGUCAAAAAACGUCUACUUUGUUUGGAUCAUAUUUUGUAAUAUUUCUCUUAGAAAAUGAGCCUCAAACAUUUAAAGAAGCGAUGUCGUCGUCAGACUCAUCCUUUUGGAAAGAGGCAGUCAACAGUGAGAUUGAUUUAAUCUUAAGCAACCAUACAUGGGAAUUGGUUGACCUUUCUCUAGGAAAUAAACCUUUAGGUUCUAAAUGGAUCUUCAAAAUAAAAAUGAAGGUGGAUGGUACUAUUGACAAAUACAAGGCAAGACUUAUAGUAAAAGGCUUCAAACAAAAAGAAGGCCUUGAUUACUUUGAUACAUACUCGCCAGUAACAAGGAUAACAUUGAUUAGAAUGUUAAUUGCCUUGGCAGCGGUAUAUGAUCUUGAAAUCCAUCAAAUGGAGAAUUGGAGGAAGAAAUUACAUGGAACAGCCUGAGGAUUUUGUGGUUCCAGGAAAAGAGAAUAAGGUGUGUAAGCUUAUUAAGUCAUUGUAUGGACUAAAGCAAGCACAUAAACAAUGGCAUGCAAAGUUUGACCAAACCAUGUUGGAAAAUGGGUUCAAGAUAAAUGAAUGUGAUAAAUGUGUUUAUAUUAAAGACACUCCGAAUCACCAAGUCAUUGUUUGUUUAUAUGUGGAUGAUAUAUCGAUCAUCAGUAGAGACAUUUUUGAUAUAAAUGCAACAAAACGAAUGCUCGAGAGUAAGUUCGAUAUGAAAGACCUUAGAGUUGUGGAUGUGAUCUUAGGAAUAAGAAUCCAUAGAACUCCACAAGGAUUGGCAUUCUCACAGUCUCAUUAUAUCAAAAAUGUACUUGAAAAAUUCAAGUAUAUAGAAUUUGAUAUUGUCAAGACUCCAUUGGAUGUGAGCUUUGCACUUCGAAAGAAUGAAGGUGAAAGUGACUCACAAUUGGAGUACGCAAGAGUAUUGGGAUGUUUAAUGUAUAUAAUGAACUGUACACGACCAGAAAUAGCAUGCACUAUUAGUAAAUUGAGUCGGUACACGAGUAAUCCCAACAAAACUUAUUGGAUGGCAAUGAAAAGAGUUUUGGGGUAUCUUAAAUACACUCAAGACUAUGCAUUGCAUUAUAAUAAAUAUCCCAUGGUACUCGAAAGAUAUAGUGAUACAAAUUGGAUCAUCGGAUCGAACGAAGUAAAAUCCACAAGUGGAUAUGUAUUUAUUAUCGGUGGAGGAGCAGUCUCUUGGAAAUCUUUCAAACAGACUUGUAUUGCUCGCUCUACAAUGGAAUCUGAAUUUAUCGCAUUGGAUAAAGUCGGUGAAGAAGAAGAAUGGCUCCGGAAUUUCUUGGAAGAUAUUCCUUAUUGGCCUAAACUAGUGGCACUAGUAUGUAUACACUGUGAUUGCCAAGCGGCAAUAGGUAGGGCAGGGAGCAUGAUGUACAAUGAUAAAUCUCGUCACAUACGACGGAGACAUAAUACUGUUAGAGAACUUCUCUCUAGUGGAAUUAUCACUAUUUACUAUGUGAAGUCAAAGGAUAAUGUGUCAGAUCCACUUACAAAAGACCUAUCUAGAGAAGGAGUAGAAAGAAAUUCCAAGGGAAUAGGUUUAAGGCCUAGGACAAGUCAGCAUGGCAGUAACUCUACCUAGCAGACUGGAGAUCUGAAGAGAUAGGUUCAAGGAGAUCAAACAAAGUUGUGACUAACAGGUUCAAAAUUGUCAAUUACCCAACUCAUUCUCAUGAUGUAGACAAUGUUUAGUAAACAAGGAUAAGACUUAAGGUGAAAAGUCUCUUAAUGAUUAUCUAAAUUUGGCAGAUUUGACCAAAUAUUUUAAUUUAUAUGAUUGAAAAUUUAUAAAUCACCUAUGUGAGGGAGAAGUGGAAGCCGCUUCAAGGAGAAUGUUAGUAAAGGCCUAUUCUCUACGCUCUCAUGAAAUCGGGACGUGUUCAUGGCUGAAAAGAACAAAAUAGUGAGAACCAUAAAUAGUAAAAGGUUAGUUGUGUGACAUGUAUUGUCUAGGUGUACAUUAAAGAUCGACGGUUCGAAGAUAUCAAAUCUACCAAUUGACUGAGUGCAUCUGAUGCAUGUUUACUACGGAAAGUUCAAAGGGAAACCCACUUAUCCAGAUGCAAUCAGUCUUUUCUUAAUGAUCACUUACUUGCCCAUAAAAUUUUAUGAAAAAUAGUCAUUCACCAUUCAUGUGGGGGAUUGUUGGGUUCAAAGUAUAUGAAAAGUGUGAAUGAAAAACGGAGGAAUCCAAGUGGAAGGGAAAAUAGAGAAGAAAACACUAAAAUGGAAAGUGUACUCUAAAAUAAAAAGUCUCCUAUUUCUCCCACAUUGGUGGGAGAAUGUGACUUUCAAGUGUUUAUAUUAAGAAACACUUAUUCCACUUGGUAAGUGAGCCAAGAAAUAAGAAAUGCCUCGCGCCGUCAUUGUUGUUCGCUCAACUUCGUCUUUGGCUUUGGCUUUGAAUUUGGAAAAGGAUCGAUCAAUGAGAUCUAUCUUUUUGGACAAAAUUUAUUUGACAGAAAUUUAAUCUGAAGGAAAAAUAUAAAUGCAGUAAAUUUUGAUCCUCCAGUUAUAUGUAUGCAGCAUUUCAAACUAAUGCUUCAAAAGGAUACACCGUUUCGAACUGAUGCUUCAGAAGGAUGCAAUCCUUCAACGAAAUGACACACUGAUUCAUGAAAUGGUUUACCUGUUCGGAAAAGAUGCAAUCUUUUGACAAAUAGACAUGAUUUUUCAGGAAAGUUCACACCUUUUAAGUGAACCAUUGCCACUUUUUAGAAGAGGCACAUGAAGGCUAUAUAAACCUGCUUUCAUCCAUAGGUUUAGACAUGAAUUUUCUGAAUUACAAACUCUUUUCUUGUCUUCAAAAUAUUCUGUGUGAUCAAUCAAAUUAUUGAGUGAGUUCGUUGAAUCCAACAAUUUGAGGUACCGCUAUUGUUCGGAUUGAAGGUUAUUUUAUCCUAGGAGGAAGAUUCCAUAACCUCGAGUACAGUGAGGGAAAUUAUUCCUUAAGGACACUCCGUAAAGUCGGGGGAUGUAUAUGUAUUCUAGGGGGUUCAUCCGAACCCCCUUCAUCAGAAAAUUAUACUAUUUUUACAUGGUAAAAUUUUUUUUAUGUAUAAAUAAUAGAGGUUGAACCCCCUUCGACUAGUCUGUAUAUGUACUACUGAACCCCCUCACUGAAAAUCCUGGAUCCGCCCCUGACUAGAUUUGAAGUUGGUGUUGCAUGUAUACAGAUUUUUCUACUCGAACACCAUAAAAUAACAAUGCCUUCAUUGAAAUUUAGAUAUGUUUCGAGUCUGUUCGCAUCUCAUCACAAAAACUAACCAGAUUUAUACAGAGGUGUCCUUCCAUUUGCGAGUUAACUUUGAUACAUUGUGACAUUCUUUGUUAUGUCAUACUGCCGGAUCUGAAACAACUCAAAAAGGUUCAUGUGAAUUGUCUCAAAAGAAAUAGAAUAGAAAUAAAAGCUCGAAUCUGCGGGAGUUUCACUUGUGUAGUUCAUCAUGUAUUACCAAAAUUAAGUUUUACGUUUCUUACAAGGAAAAUAAAAGUAAUACCAUAAUUACUUUUAUUUUUCCUAAAAAGAAUAUAUAUAUAAUUCUUUUCCAUAUUUGGCUAACCUCUUUCUUGAAGAAAGUUUUUGAAACUGAAAACUCCCUUCUAAUACAAGAACACAAAAAUUUGUUUAGGAAAAGAUCUUCUCCCAACAAAAUUUUAUGUUUUGCAAAUAUUAGUUUUCACAUAUAGGUCGUUUAACCAAAUCAUAUUAAUAAUAUGUUUUUAAUAUGUUUUUCUUAGUCAUCUUAUUUAUCAUCUCAUGGUUUGCAAACUAUUAGCUUCUGCAUGAUGCCCUCUCGAUUCCGAACCCAACACAUCAUUAUCAACUUGAUUUGUCCACUUCUACUAAGAUACAAGUCCUGAUCGAAUAUAUAUUCUACGAUUAUUCUCAUGGAUUUACUCAGGAGGUUUGUUCAGCAUUCCUGUGUCUAAAAUCCUUAUUGUCACACCCCUUUUUCGUCUCCAAAAAGAUAUGGUUUAAGGUUCGAAAGGGUUUUGAUUUAUUGAGUGACAAAAGAUUGAAAAUUAGUUUCGAAAAGGGAUUAUUUAAAUUUUUAUUCAGAGUCGCCACUUGACAUAAACUCGGUGUGCCAAGUCACCUUUUAAAAUCCUUUUCAAAAUCAUUUGUCUCUUUGAAACUGGUUUGCGAACAAAGAUUCUGGCUAAGGAAUUCUGUUGACCGGGGGGAAGGUGUUAGGCACCCCUCGAUCUCAUGGCUCGACCACAGUCGCUUGGUGGAGCAUAUCGGCAAAUUUUGACACUACGAAUAUACAAAUCGCACAAAACACGUAAAACAAUCAAACAGACAAACAAAACAAAAAUAAUUAAAAGUACAGUGUCCAGUCCAAUUUAUACAGUCCAAAUAUAAAAAUACAAAAAUAAAUCCUAUCUAACCUAUACUAAUUCUAACUAUGCUCCUGUGCUUUACCCGAUGCCUCGGGCCUUCACCACAAAUAUUUUUCAAGUACAAGAUACCUCGGGGCAUUCCCCGGAUAAAUCAGUACAAGUACUUCGGCGCAUUCCCUGGCCAAAUGAUACAAAGGAUCCCAACACAAUAUAGCUAGAAAAAACCAUUCAAUCACAUAACUCAAAUAUUCCAUCAAUCCACAAUCCCUACAUUUGCCUAUCCGACCUACGUUUGCCUAUCUGUUUUAACAAAAUUCAUGCUUAUUCCAAAUUAAAGCGCUAAUAAUGAAUCAAAACAAAUACGUAUUCACUUUUAUCAAUUAUUCAAUCCUCAAUCCCACCCCAAUUUAAUUUUAAACCAAAAUUCAAACAUAAUAAUUCACACCACUAGCUCCAACAAUCCACAACUAUUGUAAACUCAAUAUUCAUCAUUCACAUCACACACAAGCAAUUAAAGAUAUUCAAUUCAACACAUCAAACAUCACUAAUAAAUGAAAUAAAGGAUGAAAGGAGUAGAAUUGGAACUCAAGAGCGCAGAUUUUUCACUGGUAAUAAUGAAUUAAUGAAAGCCAAAGUCCGAAAUUCAAAAGCUCGAAGAGGAAACCUCAAUACAACCUGACCGACCCCAAUAAAAGACAACGACUAACCCAAACUCAAAUAGAGGUUCUCGAAUGAAAUCCAUGACUAUCGUCACUUAAAACUCAAUCAGUGGGAAUAUUACCUUUUUCGAUGUAUUUCUGCUGUCGAAACAGUGGCAGUAGCAGCGGUGAAGUUUGAUCGUAGGUUGUCGAAUGAUUUCCGAUAGGUUGCAUCUGUGGUUGAUCGGUGAUGGGCGACAGAACAAUUUUCCAGUAGAACUGGCCAGAAUCAGCCCAUAAUAGGUCGACUUUAGUUGUUUUGGGGCUGUUUUUGCCAAUUUCGACUGCGGAUGAGCCCUUUCCGGCGAGCUUCAGGCAAAGACUCGCCGGCUUCCGAUCACUCUCUCUCUCUCUCUUGAUUUUUCACUCUCUUCUCACCCUCUCUCCAUUCUUCUCCGAUAUCUUCGCCACUCAAUGUCUUUUCUGAUUUUCUAAGAUUUUCCUACAUGUGUAAAGGUGAGUCUGAAUUUGGUAGAUUAGUGCAUAGAUGUAUUGACUGUGUGUUUACAGUGUGUUCUUCAGUGAUUUUCAAAGAUGGAGACUAUGUGCUAUCUUCAAUGGAGUGUAUGUGUGUUGUGCGUUUGUUGUGUAUAAUCAAUGGAGAAACUGUGGAUCUUGGGUAUGAAUUGUGAAGGGACUCUGGGUUGUUGCCUUUGAUAUGGUCUGCUAAUGGAGAGGGGUGUGAGGAUUGUGUGUAGGUGUCUUGGUGAAGAAGAAGGAAAAGGAAAAUGGAGUAUGUGUAUUGUGAUGAUGAGAAAAACAUGACCCCCCCUGUAAAUGUCACUGUGUAUAUGGAUUUGUAUAUGAAUCACCUAGGUCCCCCUUGAAUAUUCCUUCUUUUGUUUGUUUUAUCCCAUCCAGAAAAGAAAAAACGU
This 9531-nucleotide long non-coding RNA is filed under the name Capsicum annuum. Its description in RNAcentral is "long non-coding RNA (CANN_LNC014791)". The record is from RNAcentral. Lineage: Eukaryota; Viridiplantae; Streptophyta; Magnoliopsida; Solanales; Solanaceae.